CGACCGGCGCACGGGUGAGUAACACGUAUGGAACCUGCCCUAUGCAGGGGGAUAAGCGGAAGAAAUUCCGUCUAAUACCGCAUAACACCUUUAGGAGACAUCUUCUUGGGGUCAAAGGAGGCGACUCCGGCAUAGGAUGGCCAUGCGUCGCAUUAGCUAGUCGGCGGGGUAACGGCCCACCGAGGCGACGAUGCGUAGGGGUUCUGAGAGGAAGGUCCCCCACACUGGUACUGAGACACGGACCAGACUCCCUACGGAAGGCAGCAG
This 267-nucleotide ribosomal RNA is filed under the name uncultured bacterium. RNAcentral describes it as "partial 16S ribosomal RNA". It matches the Rfam family "Bacterial small subunit ribosomal RNA", at positions 92 to 354 of the family's 1533-position model. The record is from RNAcentral.